CAACUCGCCUGCAUGAAGUCGGAAUUGCUAGUAAUCGUAGGUCAGCAUACUACGGUGAAUACGUUCCCGGGCCUUGUACACACCGCCCGUCAAACCAUGAGAGUUGGCAACACCCGAAGUCGGUAGUCUAACCGCAAGGAGGACGCCGCCGAAGGUGGGGUUGAUGAUUAGGGUUAAGUCGUAACAAGGUACC
RNAcentral lists this ribosomal RNA (193 nucleotides) under uncultured bacterium. RNAcentral describes it as "partial 16S ribosomal RNA". It matches the Rfam family "Bacterial small subunit ribosomal RNA", at positions 1308 to 1500 of the family's 1533-position model. The record is from RNAcentral.